AAUGAAYUGAACGUUGGCUAAUUCAUAAAUCCAUAUUUUAUGGAUAAUAACUUGUAGUUUAGUUAGUUGUAUAACUCCUGAUUAUAACAAGCGUGAUCAAACAUGAGAUCUUAGAGGGUGAUUUUCCCGUAUUUUAACAAAUCAGGAGUUUUCUCAACUAUAUUUUGAGUAGUGCUCUUUGGUACUAGAGUUCUAAGCGUGUGGUGAUAUUCACAAAAGCCUUAUCACUGGUGGGAGACCUUUAGUUUACAAGUACCGUGAGGGAAAGAUGAAAAGAACUUUGGAGAGGGAGUUAAAAAGUAUGCGAAAAUGUUGGUAGAAAGCGAAGCUAGUUAGUAACAUUGCUCUGACCUUGGUAAUUAUCAUUGGAUUACGCUAUACUCUUAGUUAUUUAAUGAUCUUUUUACUGUUCAGAGUGGGGUGUAUAUGUCGUUCAUUAACCUGAUUCGACCCGUCUGGAAACACGGACCAAGGAGUCUAGUAUGGGUGCAAGAUUUUGGAAGUACAGUUCCUAGAUUGUAUGUAACCUGAAUCGUGUUUGUCUCAAAUAUAACUGAUAAAUCGCGGAUAG
This 571-nucleotide ribosomal RNA is filed under the name Disolenia zanguebarica. Its description in RNAcentral is "eukaryotic LSU rRNA". It matches the Rfam family "Eukaryotic large subunit ribosomal RNA", at positions 92 to 767 of the family's 3401-position model. The record is from RNAcentral. Lineage: Eukaryota; Polycystinea; Collodaria; Collosphaeridae.